Molecule: ribosomal RNA, 305 nt
Filed under: uncultured bacterium
Lineage: Bacteria
Description: bacterial SSU rRNA
Rfam family: Bacterial small subunit ribosomal RNA
Source: RNAcentral
GGGACCCUACGGGGGGCAGCAGUGGGGAAUAUUGCACAAUGGGGGGAACCCUGAUGCAGCGACGCCGCGUGGGUGAGGAAGUACUUCGGUAUGUAAAGCCCUAUCAGCAGGGAAGAAAAUGACGGUACCUGACUAAGAAGCCCCGGCUAACUACGUGCCAGCAGCCGCGGUAAUACGUAGGGGGCAAGCGUUAUCCGGAUUUACUGGGUGUAAAGGGAGCGUAGACGGCGUGCCAAGUCUGGUGUGAAAGGUACCGGCUCAACCGGUACAGGCUCUGGAAACUGGCGGGCUAGAGAGCAGGAGAG